AACGAACGCUGGCGGCAUGCCUAACACAUGCAAGUCGAACGAGAACUUCCGGUCUUGUGGCGCUCGGGUGCGUACCGCGUGGGAACCUGCCCUUAGGUUCGGUAUACCUCACUGUAAGGGGUGCUAAUACCGCAUAAUGUCUUCGGACCAAAGAUUUAUUGCCUUUGGAUGGGCCCGCGUUGGAUUCGCUAGUUGGUAGGGUAAAAGCCUACCAUGGCGAGGUUCCAGAGCUGGUCGGGGAGGAGGAUCAGCCAGACUGGAGCUGAGACACGGCCCAGACUCCGACGCAGGGGAGCGGAGGGGAAUAUAGGACGAGGAGGGAAGACCUAAUCCAGCAGUGCCGGGGAAGUGAUGAAUGCCGUAGUAUAGUAAAGCUGUUUUAGCCGGAGUGAGAAUGACGGUACCGGGUGAAGAAGCACCGGCUAACUACGUG
Molecule: ribosomal RNA, 433 nt
Filed under: uncultured bacterium
Lineage: Bacteria
Description: partial 16S ribosomal RNA
Rfam family: Bacterial small subunit ribosomal RNA
Source: RNAcentral